This 649-nucleotide long non-coding RNA is filed under the name Mytilus galloprovincialis (Mediterranean mussel). Lineage: Eukaryota; Metazoa; Mollusca; Bivalvia; Mytilida; Mytilidae. The record is from RNAcentral.
CUCUUCUCACAAAAUACUGUAUAACAAAAUUGUUGCACUAUCAUUUUACUUUUUACUCAUUUUCUAGCAUGCCCCCUGUUGACAAAUAUCAUUCUAACUUGACAACGACAUAUUAGUACCAACUUUACACAAUUCAUGGCAUUAACUGCGCUUUGCUAUCAUUUUACUUGAAUGUUCUCAUUCUUUUAGCUUGCCCCCUUUGACUAUAUCAUUCUAACUUGACAACGACAUAUUAGUAUCAAAAUUAUACAAUUCAUGGCAUUAUCUGCGUUUUGCUAUUAUUUUACUUUUUACUCAUUCUUUUAGCUUGCCCCCUUUGACAAAUAUCAUUUUAACUUGAAAAGGACAAAUUAGUAUCAAAAUUAUAAAAUUCAUGGCAUUUAACUGCGUUUUGCUAUCAUUUUACUUUUUACUCAUUCUUUUAGCUUGCCCCCUUUGACAAAUAUCAUUCUAACUUGACAACGACAUAUUAGUAUCAAAAUUAUACAAUUCAUGGCAUUAUCUGCGUUUUGCUAUUAUUUUACUUUUUUACUCAUUCUUUUAGCUUGCCCCUUUGACAAAUAUCAUUUUAACUUGAAAAGGACAAAUUAGUAUCAAAAUUAUAAAAUUCAUGCAUUUAACUGCGUUUUGCUAUCAUUUUACUUUUUAC